AACGCUGGCGGCGUGCUUAACACAUGCAAGUCGAACGGUGACGGAGAGCUUGCUCUCCUGAUCAGUGGCGAACGGGUGAGUAACACGUGGGCAACUGCCCCAGACUUCGGGAUAACGCUUCGAAAGAGGUGCUAAUACCGAAUACGAACGCCGUGGGCAUCCACGGUGUUGGAAAGUUUUCGGUCUGGGAUGGGCCCGCGGCCUAUCAGCUUGUUGGUGAGGUAAUGGCUCACCAAGGCGACGACGGGUAGCCGGCCUGAGAGGGCGACCGGCCACACUGGGACUGAGACACGGCCCAGACUCCUACGGGAGGCAGCAGUGGGAAUAUUGCGCAAUGGGCGAAAGCCUGACGCAGCAACGCCGCGUGGGGGAUGAAGGCCUUCGGGUUGUAAACCUCUUUCAGCAGGGAAGAAGCGAAAGUGACGGUACCUGCAGAAGAAGCACCGGCUAACUACGUG
This 458-nucleotide ribosomal RNA is filed under the name uncultured bacterium. RNAcentral describes it as "bacterial SSU rRNA". It matches the Rfam family "Bacterial small subunit ribosomal RNA", at positions 32 to 507 of the family's 1533-position model. The record is from RNAcentral.